CACGGGAGGAGCAAGCGUUGUUCGGAAUUACUGGGCGUAAAGGGCGUGUAGGCGGUUCGGUAAGUGGAAUGUGAAAUGCCCCGGCUCACCCGGGGACCUGCAUCCCAUACUGCCGAGCUCGAGUACGGGAGAGGAUGAGGGAAUUCCUGGUGUAGCGGUGAAAUGCGUAGAUAUCAGGAGGAACACCGGUGGCGAAGGCGCUCAUCUGGCCCGAUACUGACGCUGAGGCGCGAAAGCUAGGGGAGCAAACGGG
Molecule: ribosomal RNA, 253 nt
Filed under: uncultured bacterium
Lineage: Bacteria
Description: partial 16S ribosomal RNA
Rfam family: Bacterial small subunit ribosomal RNA
Source: RNAcentral